Molecule: ribosomal RNA, 253 nt
Filed under: uncultured archaeon
Lineage: Archaea
Description: partial 16S ribosomal RNA
Rfam family: Archaeal small subunit ribosomal RNA
Source: RNAcentral
AACCAGCACCUCAAGUGGUCAGGAUGAUUAUUGGGCCUAAAGCAUCCGUAGCCGGCUCUGUAAGUUUUCGGUUAAAUCUGUACGCUCAACGUACAGGCUGCCGGGAAUACUGCAGAGCUAGGGAGUGGGAGAGGUAGACGGUACUCGGUAGGAAGGGGUAAAAUCCUUUGAUCUAUUGAUGACCACCUGUGGCGAAGGCGAGACUCUGGACGACACCUGACGCUGAGAGACGAAGGCCAGGGUAGCGAAAAGG